RNAcentral lists this unclassified non-coding RNA (143 nucleotides) under uncultured Tetracladium. RNAcentral's name for it is "sequence contains ITS2". Lineage: Eukaryota; Fungi; Ascomycota. The record is from RNAcentral.
UCACCCUUCAAGCUCUGCUUGGUGUUGGGGCCUGCUGUUAGGCAGCCCUUAAAAUUAGUGGCAGUGACCAUUAGGCUCUAAGCGUAGUAAUUCUUCUCGCUAUAGCGUCUAGUGGUUCCGCGCCAAAACCCCCAAUUUUUUAU